UAGGUGUGCUCAGAGCAGGGGCUUAAGAAUGGCUCCUCUGUUUAUAACAUACCCAACAGGAAUCUGGGGUCAUUGUGAUGAGGGGCACAAAACUUGUGGCCUCCCUAUGAACAAAUUUCUUACAUGA
Small nucleolar RNA from Otolemur garnettii (small-eared galago), 127 nucleotides. The record is from Ensembl. NCBI's taxonomy places the organism in Eukaryota, Metazoa, Chordata, Mammalia, Primates, Galagidae.